Long non-coding RNA from Pieris napi, 459 nucleotides. RefSeq lists it as uncharacterized. The transcript is spliced from 3 exons. The record is from RefSeq and is a predicted model, not a curated record. Lineage: Eukaryota; Metazoa; Arthropoda; Insecta; Lepidoptera; Pieridae.
UCAAAUUUGCGUCAGUCAAGACUCGAGAGUCAAGAGUCAAGACAGAAAUCAAAAUCGGUCAUUCUGUUUUCAACGUUGCACAGAUGCGCUUGUUCCUGCAGUAUUUCAUUUUAAACGUCGUAAAUUAUUAUUAAGUGUUGUGUUUUAGACGUAAAUAAGUGUUUGUGUGGUGUUUAAGGAUUGCAUAGUCUAGCUUAUUUUGCAGCUUAGUCUGAUGCUCAAAAUGCCAAGUCAAGCUCGCUGCGACAGAGUUCCCCCCACAGAUGGGGUAUGGGGCCCAGUGGACCUGAGAGUCUUACAAGAAGAUGAUUUACCUUUAGACCCGCGGAGCUGGUGUCGCGCCGACGUGGGCAUCUGGGUCUCUCGUCGAGGUGGUCUACCCGAACGGUUUCCCAUGAACGGGAAGGCACUGUGUCUCAUGUCCAAAGAUAUGUUUGCUGCCAGGGUACCGAAGGGCGG